GAAGAGAGAGAGAUGAGGUGUUGGGAGAAGAGAGGAAGAGAGAGAUGAGGUGUUGGGAGAAGAGAGAAGAGAGAGAUGAGGUGUUGGGAGAAGAGAGAAGAGAGAGAUGAGGUGUUGGGAGAAGAGAGCAGAGAGAGAUGAGGUGUUGGGAGAAGAGAGAGAGAUAAGGUGUUGAGAGAAUAGAGAGAUGAGGUGUUGAGAGAAGAGAGAGAUGAGGUGUUGAGAGAUGAGGUGUUGGGAGAAGAGAGAGAGAUGAGGUUUUGAGAGAAUAGAGAGAUUAGGUGUUGGGAGAAGAGAGAAGAGAGAAGAGAGAGAUGAGGUGUUGAUAGAAGAGAGAGAUGAGGUGUUGGGAGAAGAGAGGAAGA
This is a long non-coding RNA of Oncorhynchus tshawytscha (Chinook salmon), 365 nucleotides long. The record is from Ensembl. Lineage: Eukaryota; Metazoa; Chordata; Actinopteri; Salmoniformes; Salmonidae.